RNAcentral lists this long non-coding RNA (1464 nucleotides) under Nicotiana tabacum (common tobacco). Its description in RNAcentral is "long non-coding RNA (NTAB_LNC011701)". The record is from RNAcentral. Lineage: Eukaryota; Viridiplantae; Streptophyta; Magnoliopsida; Solanales; Solanaceae.
GGGUCUUUAUCUUUUCAUUAAACUAAGUAAUCUUAACAGAAUGCAAUUUCAAUCACAUAUAUAAAGAAGAAAAUGAUAAUUUAACUAAUUUUUAACAGAUUUACAUGAUGAUAACACUAAUAUAACAUUCAUCUUGAAACAAAAUCAGAUCUAACAUGUUCCAUCAACCAAACCGGGAUCAAAUCCUUCUUAUUAUCAUCAAGAAUCUGCAAUAUAAGAAUUUGAAAGUUACCUGGUUUGUAAAAUAAUAAAAUACAGCAGUGCAGUAACAAAAUAUUCAGCAGCAAAUAUAGUAAAAAUAGCAGCAACUCAAGUGUUAAGACAACCCAAAAAACUCAACAAAGAUGCUUGAAAUUGGUAUCUAUCAACUUCACAAAUUGCCUAAGGGAUUUUUCUAUUUUUCUCAAAGUUUUUGCACUCAAAUAAUCAUCACAAAACUCUGAAAUUUCAGCUUGUUAUAUGUAUUAAGCUGCUGAUUUUUCUCAAAGAUAUAUGUCUUUAAGCAAGUCUCCAAGAUGUGUCUCAGUGUAAGAUAGAGUGUGUGUCCUCUUCAGUGAGUAAGGAUAGCCCUUUAAAUAGGUAAAUAAAUCAGAUUUUUCGGACAGAUUUUGGUUCACCAAAAGUCUGUCCAAAAGACUAACUUUGUGUGCUAAACACUGUUCAAAAGCUGUCAAAAAGUAUUGUAUUUGUCACCACAUAAUGACUUUUGAGUUUUGCACUCCAAAAUCUUUGCACAGUAAAAACAACCAAACUUGUACUAUUCCUUCUUUAAUUACAGCUUUUAUCAACACAAAAUUCAAAUACUUAAAUCCAAUAAAAUAAAUUCACUAAGCACUUGAAACUUUUAUUAUAAACUAUCAUGACUAAGCGAAUAGCUAUUUCAAAACUAAUGAAUAACUAAUUAUCAGUGAUUAAUAAGUAUGAACGACUAAGCUAACAUAGAUUAAACACAACUAAUAAUAAAAAUAUAAAUAAUAUAAAUAAUAAUAAUAAAAAUAAAUAAAUAAAUAAAUCAUAAAUUAUGCUAGACAUAAACUAAAUACAAUACAAUUAGAAAAAAUAGACAAAGAAAAUGAGAAUAGGGGUAUACCAAACGAAGGCGUUCGGGGUGGUCGCCGGAAUUUGGCUGGAUUUUUAGUUGCUGAAUUUUCGGGAGAAAUUGAUAUCAAUAAGUAGGUCUUGUUGAGCUCUAUCCGUUGAUGUAGGUAUUGUGGGGCGGUAGUGGCCGGAACUUCAAGAUUUUGGGCAAAAAAGUUGAGGCUAAAGUUUCCUAGAUCUAAAAUUCAAGGAGUUUGAGGGGUUUUUGAAAGAUUUGGUUUGGAGAUAUAGAAAGAGAAGGUUGUGGAGAUUACAUGGUGUGAAUUUGGGGGUGUUUGGAGGUUGUUCGCCGCUGGUGGGCGAUUUCCGACGGCGGUGGCGGCGGCGGAGAGAAGAGAGAAAGAGUUACGAGGAAAAUGAGAGAAC